UCCUACGGGAGGCUGCAGUGGGGAAUCUUGGACAAUGGGCGCAAGCCUGAUCCAGCCAUGCCGCGUGAGUGAUGAAGGCCUUAGGGUUGUAAAGCUCUUUUACCAGGGAAGAUAAUGACGGUACCUGGAGAAUAAGCCCCGGCUAACUUCGUGCCAGCAGCCGCGGUAAUACGAAGGGGGCUAGCGUUGCUCGGAAUCACUGGGCGUAAAGCGCACGUAGGUGGGUCGUUAAGUCGGGGGUGAAAUCCUGGAGCUCAACUCCAGAACUGCCUUCGAUACUGGCGAUCUUGGAGUCCGGGAGAGGUGAGUGGAACUGCGAGUGUAGAGGUGAAAUUCGUAGAUAUUCGCAAGAACACCAGUGGCGAAGGCGGCUCACUGGCCCGGUACUGACACUGAGGUGCGAAAGCGUGGGGAGCAAACAGGAUUAGAUACCCUAGUAGUCCA
This 444-nucleotide ribosomal RNA is filed under the name uncultured Hyphomicrobiales bacterium. RNAcentral describes it as "bacterial SSU rRNA". It matches the Rfam family "Bacterial small subunit ribosomal RNA", at positions 337 to 797 of the family's 1533-position model. Lineage: Bacteria; Pseudomonadati; Pseudomonadota; Alphaproteobacteria; Hyphomicrobiales. The record is from RNAcentral.